RNAcentral lists this ribosomal RNA (382 nucleotides) under Malpolon moilensis (Moila snake). Its description in RNAcentral is "partial 12S ribosomal RNA". Lineage: Eukaryota; Metazoa; Chordata; Lepidosauria; Squamata. The record is from RNAcentral.
GCCUAGCUAUAAACUAACAGCCAAACAACUAACUGUUCGCCAAAUAACUACGAGUGAAAACUUAAAACUUAAAAGACUUGACGGUACUUCAAACCAACCUAGAGGAGCCUGUCUAACAACCGAUAACCCACGAUUCACCCAACCACCCCUAGCCCAACAGUCUAUAUACCGCCGUCGCCAGCCUACCUUGUGAAAGCAAUAAAGUAGACACAACAGCGCACCCACUAGCACGACAGGUCGAGGUGUAACUAAUGAGGUGGACAAGAUGGGCUACAUUUUCUGCCACAGAACAAACGAACAGACCAUGAAACUGGAAACCGAAGGAGGAUUUAGCAGUAAGAUAAGAACAAAAUACUUAACUGAAACCUGCAAUGAAGUGCGU